CACCACUCAAGCCUCGCUUGGUAUUGGGCAACGCGGUCCGCCGCGUGCCUCAAAUCGACCGGCUGGGUCUUCUGUCCCCUAAGCGUUGUGGAAACUAUUCGCUAAAGGGUGUUCGGGAGGCUACGCCGUAAAACAACCCCUUUGUAA
This 147-nucleotide unclassified non-coding RNA is filed under the name uncultured Dothideomycetes. RNAcentral describes it as "sequence contains ITS2". The record is from RNAcentral. Lineage: Eukaryota; Fungi; Ascomycota; Dothideomycetes.